CAUAAAUGUAAGUUUAUUCUUACAGAUAGUACUAUGCAAUUUAAUGAUUUUUUAUUUAUUAUGCUUGAAGGU
This 72-nucleotide transfer RNA is filed under the name Burmagomphus collaris. RNAcentral's name for it is "tRNA-Val". The record is from RNAcentral. Lineage: Eukaryota; Metazoa; Arthropoda; Insecta; Odonata; Gomphidae.